CCUACGGGAGGCAGCAGUGAGGAAUAUUGGUCAAUGGUAGAGAUCCUGAACCAGCCAAGCCGCGUGCGGGAAGACGGCCCUAUGGGUUGUAAACCUCUUUUGUCGGAGGACAAAACCCGGGACGUGUCCCGUUCUGCGUGUAUCCCAAGAAUAAGCAUCGGCUAACUCCGUGCCAGCAGCCGCGGUAAUACGGAGGAUGCGGGCGUUAUCCGGAUUUAUUGGGUUUAAAGGGUGCGCAGGCGGAAGGUAAAGGCUGCGGUAAAAUUGGGAGGCUCAACCUGGUCGAGCCGUUGAAACUGGUUGGCUUGAGUGAGUGAGACGUAUGCGGAAUGCGUGGUGUAGCGGUGAAAUGCAUAGAUAUCACGCAGAACUCCGAUUGCGAAGGCAGCAUACCGGAGCGCAACUGACGCUGAUGCACGAAGGUGUGGGUAUCGAACAGGAUUAGAUACCCGUGUAGUC
This 459-nucleotide ribosomal RNA is filed under the name uncultured bacterium. Its description in RNAcentral is "partial 16S ribosomal RNA". It matches the Rfam family "Bacterial small subunit ribosomal RNA", at positions 338 to 795 of the family's 1533-position model. The record is from RNAcentral.